CUGAUUUAUGCUCUGAUGCUGUUUGUUUUCGAGGACCUCCAUUUCUCUAAGUGCUGCCUGGAGAUCUGGCUGUUCCCCUUAGCUGAAAUAAAGGAACACCCAAGCAUCUCUGCUUGGUAGACCAGGUGGCCUAUCUUAAUUUAACCCUAUUAAGCUGCAACACUCUGGGAUGGUCUGAAAAAGUAUGUUUAUCCAUUGUGCUUGGUCAAGACUUACUAUCGUUGUCAGGAGGUUUGUGGGAAAGA
Molecule: long non-coding RNA, 245 nt
Filed under: Struthio camelus australis
Lineage: Eukaryota; Metazoa; Chordata; Aves; Struthioniformes; Struthionidae
Description: lncRNA (ENSSCUG00000014859.1)
Source: RNAcentral